RNAcentral lists this transfer RNA (73 nucleotides) under Ailuropoda melanoleuca (giant panda). It matches the Rfam family "tRNA". From Rfam's summary of the family: Transfer RNA (tRNA) molecules are approximately 80 nucleotides in length. Their secondary structure includes four short double-helical elements and three loops (D, anti-codon, and T loops). Lineage: Eukaryota; Metazoa; Chordata; Mammalia; Carnivora; Ursidae. The record is from Rfam by way of RNAcentral.
CCCUGGCUGGCUCAGUGGGUAGAGCAUUUGAUUCUUGAUCUCAAGGUCGUGGGUUUGAGCCCCACAUUGGGCA